This is a transfer RNA of Aureobasidium pullulans, 73 nucleotides long. It matches the Rfam family "tRNA". Rfam says of the family: Transfer RNA (tRNA) molecules are approximately 80 nucleotides in length. Their secondary structure includes four short double-helical elements and three loops (D, anti-codon, and T loops). Lineage: Eukaryota; Fungi; Ascomycota; Dothideomycetes; Dothideales; Saccotheciaceae. The record is from Rfam.
GCCCCUUUAGCUCAGUUGGUAGAGCGCGGCACUAGUAAUGCCGAGGUCACCGGUUCGACUCCGUUAGGGGGCA